RNAcentral lists this ribosomal RNA (263 nucleotides) under uncultured bacterium. RNAcentral describes it as "partial 16S ribosomal RNA". It matches the Rfam family "Bacterial small subunit ribosomal RNA", at positions 524 to 786 of the family's 1533-position model. The record is from RNAcentral.
UACGUAGGUGGCAAGCGUUGUCCGGAUUUACUGGGUGUAAAGGGCGAGUAGGCGGGACGGAAAGUCAGUAGUGAAAUACCGAGGCUUAACUUCGGGGCUGCUAUUGAAACUUCUGUUCUUGAGUGAUGGAGAGGCAGGCGGAAUUCCCGGUGUAGCGGUGAAAUGCGUAGAGAUCGGGAGGAACACCAGUGGCGAAGGCGGCCUGCUGGACAUUAACUGACGCUGAGGCGCGAAAGCGUGGGGAGCAAACAGGAUUAGAUACC